UCCCCUCUAGCGAAGAGUCGCCAAUUGUCGGCGGCCUGCCCGGACCAUUGUUCUGGGAUAGCUAGAGGGGUUUUC
Molecule: non-coding RNA, 75 nt
Filed under: unclassified sequences
Description: DUF3800-IX RNA
Rfam family: DUF3800-IX RNA
About the family: Actinobacteria, Firmicutes (1 example), Nitrospirae, Proteobacteria, Verrucomicrobia (1 example). Nearby to DUF3800
Source: Rfam by way of RNAcentral